RNAcentral lists this ribosomal RNA (314 nucleotides) under Argyrodes elevatus. RNAcentral describes it as "partial 12S ribosomal RNA". The record is from RNAcentral. Lineage: Eukaryota; Metazoa; Arthropoda; Arachnida; Araneae; Theridiidae.
AGGUAGUAAAAAUUUUAAUUUAAACCUAUAUAGAUUGGCGGCAUUAUUAUUCCUAGAGGAACUUGUUUCAUAAUCGAUAAUCCACGAUAACUUUUACUUAAAUUAAUAAUUUAUAUACCGCCGUCUAAGAAUUAGUUUAAAAAUAUUAUUCUUAAUAAAUUUAUAAAAUGUUAGGUAAAGGUGUAGUCAAUAUUUAAGAGAAAAUGAGUUACUUUAAAAACAAUUUAAGGAUUUUUUAAUAAAUUUUCUUUUGAAAAAGGAUUUAGAAGUAUAAUUAAAAUAAUAUUUUAAUCAGAAAAAAAUUAAUAAUGUGC